RNAcentral lists this ribosomal RNA (241 nucleotides) under uncultured bacterium. RNAcentral's name for it is "partial 16S ribosomal RNA". It matches the Rfam family "Bacterial small subunit ribosomal RNA", at positions 111 to 334 of the family's 1533-position model. The record is from RNAcentral.
UAACACGUAAACAACCUGCCUUCAGGAUGGGGACAACAGACGGAAACGACUGCUAAUACCGAAUAAGUUCCAAGGGGCCGCAUGGCCCAUGGAAGAAAAGGUGGCCUCUACCUGUAAGCUAUCGCCUGAAGAGGGGUUUGCGUCUGAUUAGCUGGUUGGAGGGGUAACGGCCCACCAAGGCGACGAUCAGUAGCCGGUCUGAGAGGAUGAACGGCCACACUGGAACUGAGACACGGUCCAG